UACGGAGGGUGCAAGCGUUACUCGGAAUUACUGGGCGUAAAGCGCACGCAGGUGGCUGAGUCAGUCGAUUGUGAAAGCCCUGGGCUUAACCUGGGAAUUGCAGUCGAUACUACUCAGCUAGAGUAUGGGAGAGGGUAGUGGAAUUCCCGGUGUAGCGGUGAAAUGCGUAGAUAUCGGGAGGAACAUCAGUGGCGAAGGCGGCUUCCUGGUCCAGUACCGACGUUCAGGCACGAAAGCGUGGGGAGCAAACAGG
Molecule: ribosomal RNA, 253 nt
Filed under: uncultured bacterium
Lineage: Bacteria
Description: partial 16S ribosomal RNA
Rfam family: Bacterial small subunit ribosomal RNA
Source: RNAcentral